GACGAACGCUGGCGGCGUGCUUAACACAUGCAAGUCGAGCGACGCUCUUCCUUCUGGGAGAUGACGGAGCGGCGAACGGGUGAGUAACACGUGGGCAACCUGCCCCUAGCUCUGGGACAACACCGGGAAACCGGUGCUAAUACCGGAUACGACAUCGAGCGGCAUUUCUCGAUGUGGAAAGUUUUUUCGGCUAGGGAUGGGCCCGCGGCCUAUCAGCUUGUUGGUGGGGUACUGGCCCACCAAGGCGACGACGGGUAGCCGGCCUGGGAGGGCGACCGGCCACACUGGGACUGAGACACGGCCCAGACUCCUACGGGAGGCAGCAGUGGGGAAUAUUGCGCAAUGGGCGAAAGCCUGACGCAACGACGCCGCGUGAGAGAUGGCGGCCUUCGGGUUGUAAACCUCUUUCAGCAGGGACGAAUUCAGACGGUACCUGCAGAAGAAGCACCGGCCAACUACGUG
This 462-nucleotide ribosomal RNA is filed under the name uncultured bacterium. RNAcentral describes it as "partial 16S ribosomal RNA". It matches the Rfam family "Bacterial small subunit ribosomal RNA", at positions 28 to 507 of the family's 1533-position model. The record is from RNAcentral.